This 807-nucleotide ribosomal RNA is filed under the name uncultured marine bacterium. RNAcentral describes it as "bacterial SSU rRNA". It matches the Rfam family "Bacterial small subunit ribosomal RNA", at positions 57 to 862 of the family's 1533-position model. The record is from RNAcentral.
GCAAGUCGAGGGGUAACAGGAAGUGCUUGCACUUCGCUGACGACCGGCGCACGGGUGAGUACCGCGUAUACAAUCUGCCUCAUACUAGGGAAUAGCCCGAAGAAAUUUGGAUUAAUGCCCUAUAGUAUCUUUUUAAGGCAUCUUAUUAAGAUUAAAGGUUACGGUAUGAGAUGAGUAUGCGUUCUAUUAGCUAGUAGGUGUGGUAACGGCACACCUAGGCUACGAUAGAUAGGGGCCCUGAGAGGGGGAUCCCCCACACUGGUACUGAGACACGGACCAGACUCCUACGGGAGGCAGCAGUAAGGAAUAUUGGACAAUGGGCGAAAGCCUGAUCCAGCCAUGCCGCGUGCAGGAUGACGGCCCUAUGGGUUGUAAACUGCUUUUAUAUAGGAAGAAAAACUUUCUCGUGAGAAAGCUUGACGGUACUAUAAGAAUAAGGAUCGGCUAACUCCGUGCCAGCAGCCGCGGUAAUACGGAGGAUCCAAGCGUUAUCCGGAAUCAUUGGGUUUAAAGGGUCCGUAGGUGGACAAAUAAGUCAGAGGUGAAAUCCUGCAGCUCAACUGUAGAACUGCCUUUGAUACUGUUUGUCUUGAGUUAUUAUGAAGUGGUUAGAAUGUGUAGUGUAGCGGUGAAAUGCAUAGAUAUUACACAGAAUACCGAUUGCGAAGGCAGAUCACUAAUAAUUAACUGACACUGAGGGACGAAAGCGUGGGUAGCGAACAGGAUUAGAUACCCUGGUAGUCCACGCCGUAAACGAUGGUCACUAGCUGUUUGGACUUCGGUCUGAGUGGCUAAGCGAAAGUGAUA